This 2054-nucleotide long non-coding RNA is filed under the name Triticum aestivum (bread wheat). Its description in RNAcentral is "long non-coding RNA (TAES_LNC022056)". Lineage: Eukaryota; Viridiplantae; Streptophyta; Magnoliopsida; Poales; Poaceae. The record is from RNAcentral.
CCACCUCGGCGCCACCCCCUCACCUCACCUAGCACGUACCUCCGCCAUCCGCCGAUGCCUAGAUCCGCCAUCAGCCGACACCGUAGAAGAGAAAAUCGGCCUUCAGGUAUCCUUUUCGAUGAUACAACCUUGUUUUUUUAUUGUAUAUUUUGGUUCGAAUCCAUCAUCCCCUUGCUGAUUGUGUUAGAUGUAGCUCCUCUCUGGGUAAAAUUUGAUGAUAUCUCUCUGUAUCAGGGCGAAGAAAAAAUAGUCGCUGAAAAAACUUGCUAUUUUUUUUUGCGUAGACUACAUAUUUGUGCAAGUACAUAUAGAAAAAUGGCAGCAACUUGUGGCUUGAGAUUAGUGCGAAGUAAUUUCAACUGAGUUCAAAGUAAAAUGUCAGCAAACGUACGUAUACAAAAAAAAUCAGAAACUUGGAACAAGUAGUUUUGGUGUGAGGUGCAUGAAGCAUCUAGCACCUUUACAAAUUAAUGGAGGUUAAUAAUAGUACAUCCAUUCCCAUCUAGUCAGAUCCUUGGUUAUAUUUUAGAAUCAAUUGUUCUGACACAACCAAUGAAGAAAAUGGCUGGUAUGGAUGAGCAAAACAGUUUUACUUAGAAGGAAAGGAAACAAAAAGAAAAGAGAAGCUAGAUACAGCAGGAAAUCCAUUUUUUGCAAGUUUUGAUUCAGAGUUCUUUCCUUUUCCGCAUGUUCAUCCUAAUCCUAUGUAUUGGUGAAGAUCGAAUAGUCCAAAAUAAAUGAGCUACUACCUGAACAUUAUUGUUCGUUUGUUCUGAAAUAAGUGGAGGCUAGCAAUCUUAGGACAUUUAAUUUCAUUUCAUCCUCCUCUGCUACUAUGACCACCAUGCCAAUUAGAAUGGAGCUAAAAUAGUAACAGGUAGAUUUCGUUUGGAACAAAUAUGAGGAAAUUACAAAAACGCGUGGAACAAUUAUCAGGGAAAAAAUCUCAUCAUGUAAGGAAUGAGUCUGCAGCUAAUUAAUUAGAAGGAGCAAAUUAAGUAGCAGAUGAGAUGUGAUUGGUGGGCAUACUAUCGUUGGGCCCAUGGAAGUGGAUGAAGAACUAUUGCAUCCCAUUGUUGAUCAUAUCCACCUUGUAAUCACACAUCACCUUGACACAACAACUGAGAAAACAUAGCCAAAAGGAUUCUUCUUUCAGAACUAGUUUUGGUCAUUGGUCUUCCUCAUUCAGGUGUAAAAAAAUUAUUACUUAUACAAGUAGUUUUGGUUGACUGAAUUAAAUUUAUUAGCUCUUUUGUCUUCCUCAUUCAGAUGCAAUAUUUUACUUAUAGAAGUAGUUUUGGUUGACUGAAUUAAAUGUAUUAGCUCUUUUGUCUUCCUCAUUCAGGUGUAAAUAAAGGAACUAAAUUCCUACAAAUUUAGCAUUUUUUGCUAUGUGUCAUGACAUGCCUUGAUGCAUUGCUAAAUAUAUGUUGUUGCACUCAGGAAAAAGGUAAAUAAACCAUAAUUUAAAUAGUAUAUCGUUUGUCAUGUUUUCACAAAUUCACUUUUCUUCUUGUUUGCAGAGCAAGUAGCGUCUACAAAGGUUCAACAUCAGCAAAUUGUUCUGAUUACCAAGACGGACAUGACAACUCAAACAAUAUUUAUAUAUGAUCGAUUAAAACAUGUUGAAUAUGUUUGCAAAAAAAAUUCACUUGAACUUGCUUGAUAUUUUGCAGCACAGUGCAACCCAUUGGAGCAGACAUCCUUUACUUUCCAGUAAAUAAUGGAUGAAAAAGUGCCUUCGUUCAUGUGAUAUAUUGACCUAGUUCAAGUACACCUGGUUGAAUAUGUUGGUCCAAUAUAUGUAUACCCGCUAAUUUGCUAUGCCUUGGUUGUAAAUAUUGGGAUGCAACUCGAGUUAUGUGUUUCAUGGUAGAUUUGUGUGUUUUAUCACGCAUGUCGUUCAUGAUAUUGUUGUUGUACUAUGAGCUUUGAAAUGGCGAGAUGGUUGUUGUGUUGCCUUCUAAGUUGACAAAGGUGGUUAAUAUGACUGAUGUUGUCCUCUCUGCAUCUUUGGUGCAGAAUUUAUGAGUCCAAAAAUCUUGGUUCAUGAA